AACAUUUGGUUCGACCAUUUCUAAUCACCUGUCAUUCCACACGCAAUAAUUUCUUCAAGAAAAGCCUGCAAUUCAUCAAAACUCUUUCAAAGCUUUUUCUUCAUUGUGAAUUUUCUCGUGUUUCUGUUAUUGCAUAAACGUAAAGAUCGUUUCACAGACAAGUUAUGUCGAGUGCUGCAGGAUCCAUCCUUCCAUUCAAAGUUCGAGUGGAGUCCUGCAAAUUUCAGCCAUCCAUUCUUUGUUUAAAUAAUUUCCUGGAGAUAUCAAAACACAAGGGAAAAUAUCAGGUUCUAAGAAACCACAAGUUGCAGUCUCUGGGCUCCGAUCUUAGAGUACAAAAUACUGACAGAUACAGGAACAUGGUCGUCUGCAGCAGUGUUGGAUCAGGACCUCCAAUCCCUUCUAAUCCUACUCCUGGGCCUGGUUCCUGCAGGAAACCUUGGAUUCUGGGAAUACUAUUGAGUAUAAUCCUACCCUUUUGGAGGGGCAAAUGGAGGCCAUUAUUAAAACUGAAAGAGGAAGUUGAAACUGUAAUAGACACGGCUGAAGCUGUAACGGAUAUUGUAGAAAAGGUGGCGGAGCAAGUUGAGAAAGUCGCAGAUAAGGUUGGUGAUCAUCUACCGGAAGGCAGACUUAAAGAUGCCCUUGAAUUUGUUGAAGAGAUGGCUGAAGACACCGCUGAUGGUGCACGCGUUGCUGGAGAAUUCAUUGACAAGGUUUUUUUUUUUUUGUUUCUUGCUAUACUAUUACCUAAUCCCUUGUUGACUUUUUGUUUAAGCAUAUUUAAUUAAUUAUUAACAAUAGGAUUAGAUAGUUGAUAUUUUAUUAUUAUAUGAAUCCUAUUUAGCUUUAGCACAUGAUUAAUAGUGCUGCUUUUCAAACAAAUUAAAAAACUUGAAGAAGCAACUGUAGAACCUAAGAAUUUAACCUAGACCGUUCAUCCAGCCAUUUAGAGUGCAGGAUUAAUUACUUGCAAAGCAAGAGUUCAAGUCCGUUGAAUCCUCUUUCCAUAAAAAAAAAGGUAGAAGAUAUGGUAGACGAAGUGGAAGAAAAGGUGGAAUCUUUGA
This is a non-coding RNA of Durio zibethinus, 1067 nucleotides long. Lineage: Eukaryota; Viridiplantae; Streptophyta; Magnoliopsida; Malvales; Malvaceae. The record is from RefSeq and is a predicted model, not a curated record.